This is a long non-coding RNA of Arvicola amphibius (Eurasian water vole), 1998 nucleotides long. RefSeq lists it as uncharacterized. The record is from RefSeq and is a predicted model, not a curated record. Lineage: Eukaryota; Metazoa; Chordata; Mammalia; Rodentia; Cricetidae. The transcript is spliced from 4 exons.
ACCCAGGGAGCAGGCAUGCAGAAGCAGGAGACCUGAGCUCUCCCCCGGGGCCUGUUGCUUGGUGACAUUCCUGCCUUGUUACAGCCCCUGGUCCCCCAAGAACAUGAGUGGGAACAGAUUCUGCUGGAGGAUUGCAGAGGCCCAGUCAGGAGCCUUCCUGCAAUGGGAUGAUGUAACUGGGACAGUCCCUCAAGGACAUUGCAGGAAGUGGGAGAGUUGGUCUUGUUGGCUUGUUGGGGCCCCCAUUUCCCUAGGGUUCUGCGGAGGAGGGAGAACACUGAAUUACUGUUAAGACGCUGUUGAUAAGAUUCCAUGAAGCGGCACAAUAAGCCGGUUGGUGAUGGGGAGACCUCGGAACAGUGCCAGCACGUUCUAAGUGGCUGUUGCACCACACUGUCAUCAUGCUGAGCCCUAGUGGUGUUGUCUCGGCUGCGCGAGCAUCACUGUCACGGGUCUUGUCCUGUAGUUCAGACUGACCUGGAACUCACUAUAUGAACCAGGCUACCUUCAAACCUGAGAGCCCCCUGCCUCAGGACCCCUGUGCUGGGGUUCAGGAUUGAGCCACAGUACCUGCCUCUAACACGCUUUGGUGUUUUGGUUUUGCUUUCGCUUUCCUGGGGUUUCCUCUGCUGAGCAUCACAAUGAGGAAGGCAGGGCUGGAUUUUUGUCUUCGACUUGAACAAACUAUUCCUACCAUAAUUCACCUGAAAACUUGGGCUCUGGAAGUUGCUUAGAACAGAGGUGCGACCUGGGGAAUGAAGGUACAGGCCAGGCUAACGAGAACACAGGAGAGGCCUGGAGCUCCUCCCCUCCUCCCCUUCCCUGAGCCCCUAGGUGCUCCCAGCUGCUUCCUGCUCCCCACUCUGCACCCGAAGCUCUCCAGAGCCUGGGUGGGGGUACCUGCUCUCCAGCUGGUGCCUUUCCCCUGAAAUCUGACCCUGGGAAUCCUGGCACCCCCUUCCCUGCACUACCCUGCCAGCUGCUCCCUGCUGGCCCCUCUCCCAAGAUCUCCCUAGGAUGAGCAGUGGCGCUGGCUCAUGGUUCCAUCUCCACCUGGCAUAUGGUGGCUCCUUUCUCCACCCAGUGCCAGCAUGGGUCUCUCACCAGACACGGGAACAGCUGGGCUUCUGGGCCCCUUGCACCUUCAUCACCCUCUCAGCUUUCAGGGCUGCAUCACCUCAGUAUCUGCUCUUCCUGCCCGGGAGUUAGCCAGGGAAAGCAAAGAGCUCACUUCGUAAAAGGAAACAGGCAGUGUAACCCAGACAUGUCACUAGGUGCCAACUCUCAUCAGUUGGGCCUGCCCAGAAACAGACCUGCCGAAUCUAAAAGCUGCAUGCAGCCUCUGGUGGAAGGAAGGCUGUGAUUAAGUAUUAAUGUCUGCCAUGAACAGGUGUAAUUGGUUAGCAGUGUCUGCCCUAUAUAGAUGCUAUUGAUUAGAAAUAUCUGCCAUGUAUAGGUGCAGUUGACUGGCAGUGUCUGCCAUGCAUAAGUAUAAUCAAUAUAGGUGCAAUUGAUUAGCAAUGUCUGCCAUGCAUAAGUAUAAUCAAUUAGCAAUGUCUGCCACGUGUGCAGCUUCAUGAAUGCUAAAGAUUACCGACUAUUGUUUGUCAAGACAGUGCAAAAGUCCUGAUAGUUGAGAAGUGAUUAUUAAGAUAGCCAGACACACACACACACACACACACACACACACACACACACACACACAGAGAGAGAGAGAGAGAGAGAGAGAGAGAGAGAGAGAGAGCGACAGAGAGAGGCAGAUAGAUAAAUGGAUGAUAGAUCUAUCCAUGAUCUGUUGGAACACUUGCCCAAGGCUGAAUGUGAGAAGCUGGUGCAUAUUUGUGCACAGAGACCUGAUUCCUAUCAAUGACAAAGAUGUUCUCAACAGCCAUACUUUGUUCUCGGAGGUUUCUCUACGUCUCCAGCAGCAUCACCCUUCUAGGUUGAGAUGACAGACUUCCAACAGCAAUGAAAUAAAUACCAUCCCUUUCCUCUUUC